CCAGCACUUCCCUCCUCCACGCGACUAACGCCGACCGUGAACCUGCUCUGGGCCAGGCGAGGCGGCAGGUCAAUCGAGAAACAGGUUCCGCCUGUCUCCACCCACACGAGUCACCAGUCUGGCUGGGGACGCAGACAACAACAAGUGGACACGGACAGUACUGAGCGGACAAGGAGAUGCAGAAAGGCAAAACUCAGAGGGACUCUCAGAACGGACCGCAGGGCGAACGCCAACCACGCACUGUGCACGAGGGACCAGCGAAGGCAGAGCGAAGGAUGCGGAACCCUCCGCCAGCACACCUUCCCGUUUACCAGUGUUCUGGAAAAUUCAGCCUAUGGGCAGAGACAGAGCCACGGUGCCAGGGCUGGGGAUGGAGCACCGGCUGACGGCAGAGCCGCUGGGGGUUUGGGAGCAAGGACUCGUGUGUCUGUGUUGUGGUGCCGGUUACACCCCCGCGCCUGUGUCCGUGCUGCAGAAUCACACCAGAAAAAGCGUAAAUUCUCCGUGUUGUAUCUCAAUAAAGCCUGCCACAACAGCACUUGUGCCACGCAGUCCACACACUUCUUUAUUAACUCCUUUAGUCACGAGACAAUAAUUAAACAUAGACUAAAGUUGAAGUUUUGUAUUGCGGUCAUAUUGGCUUAUAACAUUGUGUAAAUUAAAUUUCAGGUGUGCAUUAUUAUAUUUCAGUUUCUGUGUAGACUGCGUCGCGUUCACCACCAGUAGUCUAAUUUUUAUCUGUCGGCAUACGUAUGUGCCCGUUACCCCUUUCGCCCACCCCAGUCCCCUUCCCCUCUGGUCACCGCUGAGCUGUUCUCCUCACCUGUGUGCUCAUCUUCCACAUAUGAGUGAAAUCACGCGGUGUUUGUCUUUCCCUGCCUGGCUUAUUUUGCUUGACACAAGACCCUCAAGGUCCAUCCAUGCUGUUGCAAAUGGCAUAAAUUUGUCUUUUUUCUGGCUGAGUGGUACUCCAUUGUAUAUAUGCACCACAUCUCCUUUAUCCGGUCAUCAGUCGAUGCACUUGCUUCCACAUCUUGGCUGUUGUGAAUAGUGCUGCAGUGAACACAGAGGAGCAUAAAUCUCUCUGAAUUGUUAAUUCCGUGUUCUCUGGAUAAAUACCCAGUAGUAGGAUAGCUGGGUCAUACGAUAUUUCUAUUUUUAAUUGUUUUGAGAAAGCUCCAUACUGUUUUUCACAGUGGCUGCACCAGUUUUCACUCCCACCAGCCAUGUACGGGGGUUCCCUUCUCCCCACAUCCUCUCCAACACUUGUUUCUUGUCUUAUGAAUUGUAGCCCUUCUGACGGGUGUGAGGUGAUAUCUCACUGUAUUUUUAAUUGGCAUUUCCCUAGUAAUUAGUGAUAUUGAAUGUCUGUUCGUGUGCCUGUUGUCCAUCUGUAUGUCUUCUUUGGAAAAAUGUCUGUUCAUAUCCUCUGUCCAUUUUUUGAUCAGCUUGUUCAUUUUUUUGUUGUAUGAGUUCUUUAUAUAUUUUGGAAAUUAACCCCUGG
This 1504-nucleotide long non-coding RNA is filed under the name Equus asinus (donkey). Its description in RNAcentral is "lncRNA (ENSEASG00005026756.1)". Lineage: Eukaryota; Metazoa; Chordata; Mammalia; Perissodactyla; Equidae. The record is from RNAcentral.